This 1129-nucleotide long non-coding RNA is filed under the name Carica papaya (papaya). RNAcentral's name for it is "long non-coding RNA (CPAP_LNC009724)". Lineage: Eukaryota; Viridiplantae; Streptophyta; Magnoliopsida; Brassicales; Caricaceae. The record is from RNAcentral.
GAAAGUCCUAACCUAAUCAGCAAGUUCAACUUCAUUCUUCAAAAUCAAGUCAUCCUCUAUCAUUUUUAAAUCAUAUAUCAAACAUAUUUAGUGAAUACACAAGCACUUAAUAGCUACAUUUUCAAUAUGUUGUAAUACACGAUUAUAUACCACCCUCAAAAACUACAAAUAGGAUAAUUUAAAGCACAAUUUACCUAAAACAUGGUACAUCUGGAUUGCGGUACCAGUAUAGGUACAAAAUACAGUAUAAAAAUUUCAAGAAAAAUUUUGAUGAUAUAGGAGAGAAAAAGAAAAAGAAAAAUAGGCUGUUCAAACACUACAUUUCUCUUCAACGUCAUCAGUAGAAGAGAACAUCAGCAUGUAUGCGGUGCAUAGUCAAGCAUCUUUAAAAGGGUCAAUCUAUUUCUACUAGUACAUCUGGAUUGUGGUACCAGUAUAGGUACAAAAUACAGUAUAAAAAUUUGAAGAAAAAUUUUGAUUAUAUAGAAGAGAAAAAGAGAAAGAAAAAUAGGUUGUUGGAACACUUGCAUUUCUCUUCAAGGUCAUCAGUAGAAGAGAACAUCACUAUGUAUGAGGUGCAUAGUCAAGCAUCCUUCAAAAAGGUCAAUCUAUUUCUACCGGUACAUCUAGAUUGUGGUACCAAUAUAGGUACAAAAUACAGUAUAAAAAUUUGAAGAAAAAUUUUGAUGAUAUAGGAGAGAAAAAGAGAAAGAAAAAUAGGUUGUUGGAACACUUGCAUUUCUCUUCAAGGUCAUCAGUAAAAGAGAACAUCAUCAUGCAAGCGGUGCAUAGUCAAGCAUCCUUAAAAGGGCCAAUCUACUUCUACUUAUGACACCAUAAAACACAAGAAAGAAGAUUCGUAAGUACAAAAACUGGCCAAACAAACAGGAAAUCUUGGACAUUAACUGAGCCAGACUAGAACUCACAAGGAAUCUUUGGUUUAAGCUUUUUGACAAGCAAAUCUGACAGUACUAUCUACAACAUUGCAUGCUCUCAUCCACAAUAAAAACAAAUUCGCUAUUUCAUUGUAGUCACCUUUUAUAUGGUAUUUUAUGAGAUUAUGACGAUGGCUGUGCAGGCAUGAUAAAAAAGGAGAUUCUAUAACAUUCUAACUUAAAGAAAACUNNNN